Molecule: ribosomal RNA, 465 nt
Filed under: uncultured bacterium
Lineage: Bacteria
Description: partial 16S ribosomal RNA
Rfam family: Bacterial small subunit ribosomal RNA
Source: RNAcentral
GACGAACGCUGGCGGCGUGCUUAGCACAUGCAAGUCGUACGGUAAGGCCCUUUCGGGGGUACACGAGUGGCGAACGGGUGAGUAACACGUGAGUAACCUGCCCACAACUUUGGGAUAACGCUAGGAAACUGGUGCUAAUACUGGAUAUGUGCUCCUGCUGCAUGGUGGGGGUUGGAAAGCUCCGGCGGUUGUGGAUGGACUCGCGGCCUAUCAGCUUGUUGGUGGGGUAGUGGCCUACCAAGGCGGCGACGGGUAGCCGGCCUGAGAGGGUGACCGGCCACAUUGGGACUGAGAUACGGCCCAGACUCCUACGGGAGGCAGCAGUGGGGAAUAUUGCACAAUGGGCGCAAGCCUGAUGCAGCAACGCCGCGUGCGGGAUGACGGCCUUCGGGUUGUAAACCGCUUUCAGCAGGGACGAAGCUUUUUGUGACGGUACCUGCAGAAGAAGCACCGGCUAACUACGUC